This is a long non-coding RNA of Lolium perenne, 902 nucleotides long. RefSeq lists it as uncharacterized. Lineage: Eukaryota; Viridiplantae; Streptophyta; Magnoliopsida; Poales; Poaceae. The record is from RefSeq and is a predicted model, not a curated record.
GCCGAAUGAGCCUCCUGUUACCGCCGGCGAAUUUGGUUGGGGGCGCCUGGGAUAAGGCCCACUACGACCGGCGAAAUUGGGCCGCGCGUGCCGGGGGUAUUUGGCACAUCACAACCCAUCCACCUAGGGUAACACCUCACCCAGCACAUCACAACUACCAACCCCGUGACCUCCUUCCUCUCAAGCGCCGCCGCCCUCCUCCCUUGCUGCCCAGCCAGCAGCCACCGCCGCGAUGUCGUCGGAGCCUCCACCCGCCUCCGCCUCCGCCUCCAUGGAGGAGCUCGAGACCGACCUCACCGCCUCCACAAUCAGCAAGAAGCAGCUCAACAAGGAGGCCCGGAAGGCCGCCAAGGCCGAGAAGUCCCAGGCGGAGGAGGAGGACCCCUUCGCCGCCAACUACGGCGACGUCCCCGUCGAGGAGAUCUAGUCCAAGGCCAUCUCCGGCCGGACCUGGACCGACAUCGGCGACCUCGACGAGGCCGCGGCGGAUCGCUCCCGCGGCGGCUCCCACGCCAUCUCCCUCCGUGCCUCCUCCCCUCCAGAUGGACGCCGCUGGGUUCCAGCCGGACCAGCAGCACUUCAACAAUUUUCAACAGUACAAUGGUUCGCCUAUAUGUUGAUCUUUCCUUUUGGUGACCUCUGGUUUCGAGUGGUGCACAGAACAAUGUCUACACGGACAUGUUGAUCAUCGGAAGUGAAGAAUCAAAAGAUCAUCAUAAGUGAAGAAUCAAGAUGCAAUCAAUACGUGGAUUAUAGAUAUGCCUGUGUGUGCAAUCAAUAGUUAGAGCACUUUAUUUUGUGGAUUUUUUUUGUGAAUUUUGCUGGAUGUAUUCACAUGUGCCCUGAUGUAUAAUUGCAAAGCUAAUAAAUAGUACAUGGACGGGAUGGAUGGGUUACGUGAA